GUGCCAGCAGCCGCGGUAAUACGUAGGGGGCGAGCGUUGUCCGAAUUCACUGGGCGUAAAGCGCGCGUAGGCGGACCUUUAAGUCAGGGGUGAAAUCUCAGGGCUCAACCCUGAAACUGCCUUUGAAACUGGGGGUCUUGAGGUAUGGAGAGGGAAGUGGAAUUCCUGGUGUAGCGGUGAAAUGCGUAGAUAUCAGGAGGAACACCCGUGGCGAAGGCGGCUUCCUGGCCAUAUCCUGACGCUGAGGUGCGAAAGCCAGGGGAGCGAACGGGAUUAGAAACCCUUGUAGUCC
Molecule: ribosomal RNA, 292 nt
Filed under: uncultured bacterium
Lineage: Bacteria
Description: partial 16S ribosomal RNA
Rfam family: Bacterial small subunit ribosomal RNA
Source: RNAcentral